AUGGCCAUGAGGGCCCCUGCUCAGCUUCUGGGGUUCUUGCUGCUCUGCCUCCCAGGUGUCAGAUGUGAUAUCACAAUGGCCCAGUCUCCAUCCUCCUUGCCUGUGUCACGUGGAGACAGAGUCACCCUCACCUGCAGGGCCAGUCAGGGCAUUAGCAGUAAUUUACACUGGUAUCAGCAGAAACCAGGUCAAGCUCCUAAGCUCCUCAUCAGAAAUGCAAACACUUUGGAAUCUGGCGUCCCCUCGAGGUUCAGUGGCAGUGGAUAUGGGACAGAUUUCACUCUUACCAUCAGCAGCCUGGAGCCUGAAGAUGCUGCCACUUAUCACUGCCAACAGAGUAGCAUUUAUCCUCCCACAAAACAUGUGGAGAUCUCCUGA
This is a non-coding RNA of Marmota flaviventris (yellow-bellied marmot), 378 nucleotides long. Lineage: Eukaryota; Metazoa; Chordata; Mammalia; Rodentia; Sciuridae. The record is from the annotation of a RefSeq genome assembly.